Mauremys mutica (yellowpond turtle) is the source of this 431-nucleotide long non-coding RNA. RefSeq lists it as uncharacterized. The record is from RefSeq and is a predicted model, not a curated record. The transcript has 3 exons. NCBI's taxonomy places the organism in Eukaryota, Metazoa, Chordata, Testudines, Geoemydidae.
CUCACAAGGCACAUUUCUGGGACAUGUGACUCCUUUGAGAACAAGAGGUAUAAAUGCUAAGCAGAGGAAGUUAGUUAGUAGUUCCCCAAUUAACAUCUGAAGAGGUCUGUGAUGCUGUAAGACAGAGAGCCUCAGGGUAACCAAGACCCUGCUUCGGGGGACAUUUGACAGACCAAGUACUUGAGAGGGGAAAAGAACAGAAGAAAAGAAGUAUCCAUCUAGGACUGGUAGCUGUACCUGCUUCGUUUGCCAAUCAGGCUACUGCUAUCUUUCAGAUGAAGACACAAGUGGUUCAUCUCUUCUGAAAAAUAAUACAAUCAACGUGGCUCCUGAAGUCAAGCACAGAAUUUUCUGCUGUUGCAAGACCUAGCCACACGGAAAGUUUUAUUUUUAAAUUUCAGCCACUGUUGGAGUAUCUCUGCAGAAAGGCA